GAUGAACGCUGGCGGCGUGCCUAAUACAUGCAAGUCGAGCGAACGGACGAGAAGCUUGCUUUUCUGAUGUUAGCGGCGGACGGGUGAGUAACACGUGGAUAACCUACCUAUAAGUCUGGGAUAACUUCGGGAAACCGGAGCUAAUACCGGAUAAUAUUUUGAACCGCAUGGUUCAAAAGUGAAUGACGGUCUUGCUGUCACUUAUAGAUGGAUCCGCGCUGCAUUAGCUAGUUGGUAAGGUAACGGCUUACCAAGGCAACGAUGCAUAGCCGACCUGAGAGGGUGAUCGGCCACACUGGAACUGAGACACGGUCCAGACUCCUACGGGAGGCAGCAGUAGGGAAUCUUCCGCAAUGGGCGAAAGCCUGACGGAGCAACGCCGCGUGAGUGAUGAAGGUCUUCGGAUCGUAAAACUCUGUUAUUAGGGAAGAACAUAUGUGUAAGUAACUGUGCACAUCUUGACGGUACCUAAUCAGAAAGCCACGGCUAACUACGUG
RNAcentral lists this ribosomal RNA (497 nucleotides) under uncultured bacterium. RNAcentral's name for it is "partial 16S ribosomal RNA". It matches the Rfam family "Bacterial small subunit ribosomal RNA", at positions 28 to 507 of the family's 1533-position model. The record is from RNAcentral.